GAGACAGGAGCCCAACCCUGGAUUCCCAGGUGUUCCUCGAAUCUUGUCAGGACAGAACACAGACCACUCAUCAUGGAGUUUGGUUUCAUCUGGGUUUUCCUUGUUGCUGUUUUAACAGGUGUCCAGUGUGAAGUGCAGCUGGUGGAGUCUGGGGGAGGCUUGGUGAAGCCUGGGGGGUCUCUGAGACUUACCUGUGCAGUCUCUGGAUUCACCAUCAGUAGUAGGUACUGGAUGCACUGGGUCCGCCAGGCUCCAGGGAAGGGACUGGAAUGGAUCUCAGCAAUUGCUGGUAGUAGCACAUACUAUGCCGACUCUGUGAAGGGCCGAUUCACCAUCUCCAGAGACAAUGGCAAGAACGAGCUCUACCUGCAAAUGAACAGCCUGAGACCUGAGGACACAGCCAUAUAUUACUGUGGGAGUGACACGGUGAGGGGAAGUCUGUGUGAGCCCAGACACAAACCUCUCUGA
Phyllostomus hastatus (greater spear-nosed bat) is the source of this 468-nucleotide non-coding RNA. The record is from the annotation of a RefSeq genome assembly. NCBI's taxonomy places the organism in Eukaryota, Metazoa, Chordata, Mammalia, Chiroptera, Phyllostomidae.